GAAAUGCGAUACGUAAUGUGAAUUGCAGAAUUCAGUGAAUCAUCGAAUCUUUGAACGCAAAUUGCGCUUCGGGGCUUACAUACCGGAGCAUGCCUCUUUGAGUAUUGGUUCUACCUUUCUCCCUUGCGUGCUUUGCGGCACGCCAAGGCCUGAGAAGACAGUGGGCGUCUCGCUGGCAACAGCGCGUCGCUUCAAGUGGACGGCACGGCUCUUUGUGCUGCUGCGUGCGUUGGAAAGAUAGGUCACUUGCUGACUUUCUGCCUUAAACGGCUAUUUUUCCCUCGCUGCUGCGGCCGCCCUUUGCAAAAAGGGCGAGAGACAGUCUCCGAGAGGUCGAUCGGGCGCCACUCAGGCGUUCGGCGGCCACUCAACAUACCUUUACAAAAUCUAAUCUCAAAUGAGGUAAGAGGACCCCCUGAAUUUAA
Molecule: unclassified non-coding RNA, 425 nt
Filed under: uncultured Mortierella
Lineage: Eukaryota; Fungi; Mortierellomycota; Mortierellomycetes; Mortierellales; Mortierellaceae
Description: sequence contains ITS1
Rfam family: 5.8S ribosomal RNA (bases 1-107)
Source: RNAcentral